This 497-nucleotide ribosomal RNA is filed under the name uncultured bacterium. RNAcentral's name for it is "partial 16S ribosomal RNA". It matches the Rfam family "Bacterial small subunit ribosomal RNA", at positions 28 to 507 of the family's 1533-position model. The record is from RNAcentral.
GAUGAACGCUGGCGGCGUGCCUAAUACAUGCAAGUCGAGCGAACGGACGAGAAGCUUGCUUCUCUGAUGUUAGCGGCGGACGGGUGAGUAACACGUGGAUAACCUACCUAUAAGACUGGGAUAACUUCGGGAAACCGGAGCUAAUACCGGAUGAUAUUUUGAACCGCAUGGUUCAAAAGUGAAAGACGGUCUUGCUGUCACUUAUAGAUGGAUCCGCGCUGCAUUAGCUAGUUGGUAAGGUAACGGCUUACCAAGGCAACGAUGCAUAGCCGACCUGAGAGGGUGAUCCGCCACCCUGGAAAUGAGACCAGGUCCAGACUCCCAAGGGGAGGAACAGUAGGGAAUUUUCCGCAAUGGGGGAAAGCCUGACGGAGCACAGACGGGUGAGUGAUAGAGGUCUUCCGAUCGUAAAACUCUGUUAGUAGGGAAGAAAAUACGUGUAAGUAACUGUGCACAUCUUGAAGGUAACUAAUCAGAAAAGCACGGCUAACCACGGG